Carya illinoinensis is the source of this 5119-nucleotide RNA transcript. RefSeq lists it as uncharacterized. The transcript has 7 exons. Lineage: Eukaryota; Viridiplantae; Streptophyta; Magnoliopsida; Fagales; Juglandaceae. The record is from RefSeq and is a predicted model, not a curated record.
CAAAAUGCUUCAAUAUUAGAAAUUCGUGUGGUUAUGCUUUGGCAAUUAAAACUGCAUGAUGUUUCGUUGCAUUCUUGUAAACUGCAUGUCGCUCCUAGAAUUUGAACCACAUUCGAUUUCCUUUCUCCCCUUCCCCUCCAACGGCGGCCAUUACCCUCGUGUCAAAGCCCUACUCCAUUUCUUUCUUUGAGGAGAUGCUUUUAUCACCGGCCACUGUAUCCUAUGCCAAUCCUCCUUUUGCCACUCCCGUCCCUCCAGAAUCCUGACCAUAAUCUCAUUUCCGCAAUGAUCUCACGGAUAGAAAUGUCCAGUGGCUAUUACUGGGCUCCCCAGCUUGGGAAUGGGAACCUUUGCCAGCCGCCUCUCUAACAUUCUCGGCGUACCCUGCGUCGCUAACGGCGAUCUCGUCUCCUCCGGCCCCCUCUCUCAACUGUUAUGGAGGCUUAAGGGCGACAGGGAUCCGUUUGCAUGGCUGUUGCAUCGUGGCUCAAGUCCACUUCCCCAAAGGCUUCAUUUUAAAGACCAUCCCGCCACGAACCAACUACGCGGUGGGUGAGAACAUUAACUCUGUUGCUGUGAAGCAGAAAUGGUGGCAGCGUCGAUGGAGCUGGAGAUCCUUGAAGUGAGUGGCAUGGUCCAUCUAUGGUGGUGCUAGGCGUGAGUGGUGUUGCGGUGCAACACGGAGGGAUGCAUUUUGGUGCUCUACUUGCCCUAAGGAAAACAGAGGUUGCUGGGGUGCAGUCGAGGUUGAAGUUUUACAGUAGAAAACGCCUCUUGCUGUCGGUGGUGGCAAUGUUUUAGAGCUAGAGAUUCUCGGCGUGGAGGGGUGUUGGGCUUGCGUGCUCAACCUAUGGUGGUGGAUGCAGUUCACUCGUGGUGGGUGACGGUAUGCAAAGAAAUGAAAUGAAGCUCGGGCAUGGGGGCAGUAGGAAAAGAAAGAAAAAAGAGGAAGGGGCUGCAAAAAUGAUAGAGAUGAAACCCUAAGGGCCUUCCCACUUGCAAAUAGGCUGGACUUUUUUUGUUUGGGCUAGGGCCAAGCACUUAUUUGCAUCUUUUCUGUCCCGUGAUGAACCUUUCAAGCUCAUAAAUGAUGGAUGGUUGAAUCAUAGUAAUGGUGUCAAAGGAGCUACAAAACAGCAGACGUUUUUAAGUUUGGAAGAAAUUUCCAUAACAAAGGUCUAGACAUCAGAAGUUGCUAUAUGAAGUUUUUUACCAUCUUAAAUGUACAAGGGAGGGUUUGGCAUCUGAUUCACUGCAAGAACGAUUGGAUUUAUUUGGGGAUACAACAAACUUGAGGAGAAAAAGAUCUACAUUUCAGCUGGCAGAGAAUCUCUGCUCAAUGUAAGCCAAACUGUUAACUCACCCAUGGCUCUUGCUUUUACAUGUUAAUUUUGUAGCAAACCUUCCCCAUAGGGUUAGGAAUGUUACUUCCAUUACUUUUCUUCACCUCAGGUGUUAAGAAAUGCCAUAAUUCUUAUUAAACUAGUUUUCUUAAUGUAUCAUAUGUUACAAAACCAAAAUAAUUAAUACAAUGUCCUUUAUAUAGUCAUAACAGAAGGAAGCAUUUCCCAAAUACUGUGUUGGAUUCUUAUUAAGGCAUGAUUAAUUCAAGGUCUCUAAAACUAGUUUUUUCUCUAUAACUUGUUCUAGCCUGCUGACCCAUCCCCGUCACCAUCAAUACAUGGGAUGUCUAAAACACCCUAUGUAUGGACUGGUCAUUAUUUUAACAUUGUGUCUAUUUCGUAAUCAUAUAACAUGUUUUCUCACCUCUUUGGUCAUUAUUAGGGUUAGGAAUGUUACUUCCAUUACUUUACUUCACCUCAGGUUUUAAGAAAUGCCAUAAUUCUUAUUUAACUAGUUUUCUUAAAGACUAAUGAUGUUAACUGAAAACCCUUUGUUUAUAUUAUGUUUAGUGCAUGAUGUGGUUCUUACAUAGUAUUCGACUUAUUUUAGUUGUUUUUAUAUUUUUAUACCCCAGGUGACAAAAGGUUUUGAGGAUACAGUAGGUGAGAAUGUUGUCCAGGAAGGUGAAAUUGAUAAUUAGACUUGUGGCAUUGAGAAAGGAUUUUGAUUCUAUCUUUAAGAUUCAAUGAAUUCUUUUUUGGCGAUGUGUAGAACAUGACAAACUAUUUUCUUUCCGUAAGUGCAACUGAAUAAUUCUUAGUGGACAUUUACCAUUAUCAACGGCAAGUCUGCUUGAAGUCCCAUCCUUAGAGAGCACUCGUAUGUUUAGCAUCCCUAAAAGUGCGCCUCCCGAGACUCAUUUCAGGAGGCACUACAGUUAUAUCUUACUGAAAAGAAAACCAACAGUUUAUUCCUGAAUAUCUUACGAGUUAAACUACAUAUUAGCCACUGUGGUGCAACUAGAAAUCCUAAACAACUAUUUCGAUUGAGUGCUCUCUACCAAUUGCAUACCGUAGUUUAUGGUAUAUUUUCUUUAUAUAGGAGAGAUAUAAAUGCAUCUUUGAAUUCAUUUGAUUUUGACAAACCGAAUAGUGUUCUCCCUCUCUUUUAAUUGGUGGGUUGGGGAAAACUUUUGGCAUGACUGUUGUGCCGGUUGUCUCCUUUUGUGAAAACUGAGGUGAUGCUGCGUGCCAUUUUACAAAUUUAAAGGUACUGUAAAUAGCUUUAAAAUUAUGUCAAACAAUGGAAUUGAAUUGGAGACCUUCGUUUCAUGGUGGUUGCAAGUUCAUUUGGACUUGUGAUUAGUUUUAAGUUGGUACUUUCAUGCUCCAUUUGUGUGCUUGCUGAAAUAUAAUGACCUGUAUCGUUGGGUGGCUUACAAAGUACUUACACUACUUUGGAUUGGUUGAUCUUAGUGUCUGCUCAUGGCUUAAAAAUAAGAAGGGGGAAAGGAAAGGAAAUUUGUUGUAGGGAUAUAUAUAUAGACACAUAGUGACAACAGCAAUAUCAGCAAGAUCUAAAACAUGAUCAGCAUCGACUUCCCAGCUAGUAAACCAUGUAAUUGCAUUCCUUCCUAGAUGAACCCGAGUGGAUAAGUAUUUUUUUGACUUGAGUGUUCGGGUAACAAUUAAUUGAGUUCUUUUAAGAUGAAAUGUCAAAAUCUAUUUCGAUCUGGACAAAGGAAGGUGAAGGUCCUAUUUUAGGAUGCAGAUUUAUCAACCAUUCAUGUUCACAGAUUGGUUAAAUUGAUAGAAUUUUUAAGUUUGGGUUUCAGUGCAAGCCAACAAAGCUAAUUAAGUGAAACUCCUGCAGUAAUAAUAUCACAAUUUCCCCUUCAAAUUAACUCCACAAAUAGAAUCAUAGUUAAAUAUACGAAUUUUAUUUAAAUGUUUUACCAAACUUCAUGACUUCAAACCUAUUUUUUAGCUUGUUCUAUGACCCACCAACCAAAAUGGCCAUGAAAGGUUGAGUAAUCUCUACAGACUCGAUAUGUACUUUGUAUUUAAAAUAGUUGGAUGAGUUGGAUCAUCUUUGCUUUUUUCUUUUUUCUUGGCAGUUGGUUAAAUUCUACAUUACCUAAGAAAUGCCUCUGUUUAAGCAACAUCUAGUAUCUUGGAAUGAACUUAGAUUUCAAAAAGGAAUGGUACAGCCCCAAAUAAGCAUAGUACAUUGAUAGUAUAUAAAUUUCAUUUGUCGUAAAGCGUGUAAAACACUAGUGAUCCACGAGACCCCCUUGGGGUGAUCCACCCUGAAGGAUGGCUCCUCUUACCAUUUUUUAAGUUUUUAUUUUUAAUUUUUGUUUUUGAAUUAUUAUUGGAAAUUAUUGGAUUGCUUCUAGCUAUUUGAUUAAAAAUGGAAGACCCCACUCACAUGCAUGCAUGUACUGAGAGAGGUGAUUUUUGAGUUCUAUAAGAUGAGUAUUGCGGCUUAGGGUAUGGAGAAAAAACAUUUUUCUUUGAACCUGAGUUCAGAGGCAUGGAGAAGAAAUAUUGUUCUUCGGUUUCUACUAUUUUAGUCUUAUCAUGCUUCUACUUUCAUCUUUGUGUGCUUCUAAUUUAACUGCUUGAGCGAAAGUAAAUGGUCUUGGUGAAAGCCAUGUGUACUUGAAGGAACUUUGAUAAACAGAGUUAUGUACUGCAAGCACUUAUUCAAAUUAUAGUGCUUUUGGGGAAUCUGGCACAGAUUGAAGCAGCCAUCAAAGGAGGCUUUGAUGUGAAAUGGAAGGAAGAUACUGCAGCUUGUUGUGCCUGCACUGAGUCUAUGGGAGUUUGUGGUUAUGACGUGAUGAGUAAAAAUAGAUGGAAACAAUUUAUACAUGCAGUGGCAGUAUUACAGUAGAUGGAAACAAUCUAGGAGAUAGCAUGAAAUGUGUCUUUUUCUUAGUCAAUCGGGUUCAGUUGAAUUGUUGAGUAUACUAAUUACUAGGAGAACCACCACUGCCACUGGCAUUUUAAUUAGUACAUGACAUGCUUUAUGAUUAGGAUUGUUGGAGCAAAACUUUGCUGAAAAUACAUAAAUUAACUCUCUCUCUCUCUCUCUCUCUCUCUCUCUCGAUUAACUUUAAUUUUUCUUAUGCAUGCUUCCCCGCUAUAUAUAUCAUUUUACUGAUUAGGGUUGAUUCAAACUCUGUUUCGGGUCAUGGAUAAUGUUUUUUUAUCGUUCUUUCUUUCUUUUUUUUUUUUUUUUCUUUUUUUGUUUUUUUGUAAUAUCUCUUUCUCAUGCUUUGUUUACCAUAUUAAGGAAUUCGAUCGGUUGAUAUUCAAUUAUUUGCUUUUAGUAUAUAAGUAAAGGGGUUCUUAGAAUUAAAAACCAACUUUAAGUAAUUAAAGACCAUAUAUAUCUCAAUAAUCUUAAUAUGUAAAAGCUUGUCUCAUCAUGAUCACUAGUUAACUGAUCUCAUUUUAUACAGAUUGGAGCAAUUAUGGAGGUAAUUCCAAAGUUAUAAGUUGGGUGUGAGGGGAAAGCAUAUAGCAAUUAUGGAGGUUAUGGCCCUACCAUGGGAGGCUACAACUCCAACUAUAGAUCUGGAAUUACAGAAGAUUCACUGAAGAUGUUACUCUUUUUUGCAAAGAUUUUGAUUGUAUCUCAAAAUGUUCAUUCAUGUUAUGUAUUUAGAUAGCCACAGUAUUUGUAUAACUGGAAUGAUUUUAAGUAUGGGGAUCUGUUCUUGUAGUUGUAUUAGUCAUUUAUCAAUACUUUGAUGGCAUUUAUUUCA